This 120-nucleotide ribosomal RNA is filed under the name uncultured bacterium. RNAcentral's name for it is "partial 16S ribosomal RNA". It matches the Rfam family "Bacterial small subunit ribosomal RNA", at positions 215 to 334 of the family's 1533-position model. The record is from RNAcentral.
GCGGUCAAGGAUGGGCUCGCGGCCUAUCAGCUUGUUGGUGAGGUAACGGCUCACCAAGGCUUCGACGGGUAGCCGGCCUGAGAGGGCGACCGGCCACACUGGGACUGAGAUACGGCCCAG